Molecule: ribosomal RNA, 473 nt
Filed under: uncultured bacterium
Lineage: Bacteria
Description: partial 16S ribosomal RNA
Rfam family: Bacterial small subunit ribosomal RNA
Source: RNAcentral
UAGGGAAUCUUCCACAAUGGACGCAAGUCUGAUGGAGCAACGCCGCGUGAGUGAAGAAGGUUUUCGGACCGUAAAGCUCUGUUGUUGGUGAAGAAGGAUAGAGGUAGUAACUGGCCUUUAUUUGACGGUAAUCAACCAGAAAGUCACGGCUAACUACGUGCCAGCAGCCGCGGUAAUACGUAGGUGGCAAGCGUUGUCCGGAUUUAUUGGGCGUAAAGCGAGCGCAGGCGGAAGAAUAAGUCUGAUGUGAAAGCCCUCGGCUUAACCGAGGAAUUGCAUCGGAAACUGUUUUUCUUGAGUGCAGAAGAGGAGAGUAGAACUCCAUGUGUAGCGGUGGAAUGCGUAGAUAUAUGGAAGAAUACCAGUGGCGAAGGCGGCUCUCUGGUCUGCAACUGACGCUGAGGCUCGAAAGCAUGGGUAGCGAACAGGAUUAGAUACCCUGGUAGCCCAUGCCGUAAACGAUGAGUGCUAAG